UGUCAGACACCAGAGGGAGAGAGAAAACAGCCAAUACAAAAGGGAAUGAUCCCUGGCUCAAGAUGAGAAGGAAGGAGAGCUCUCUAUGUUCGUAGUCCAGCCAUAUAGGAUGCUUGGCCAAAAUGAAGGUAUAGAAAAGGAACAACCAAAGAAAGAACAGGGACAUACUGGAUCUUUCUGGGUAUCAUCAAACUUCUCCAUCCAAGAAUAAGGGACAGCAGCAUCUCUUUGACAUCCAUAGCCCAUUUCUGCUUUGCCAAUAUCACUUGUGCAUCUGGGGCCACCAAUGCAUCCUAUCCUAGCAAGUAUCAAUGGGAAUAAAGAAGAAACUUAGAAAACGACAAAAUUCAAGAAGAGCUGAAGCUCUGGAGCUAGCUUUGGUGGAGAAAGAAUGAUGCGGGAUGUUGGACUAAGCGAGAAAUGCAUAAGAAGGCUGGAAACCAGAAAGCAAGGAGACCCACUAACAUGGCCUACUCUGGUCGGCCUCUGGGCACAAAGGAGGGUGAAGAAAGGAUGGGAGCAGACAUGGAGGCACCAAUGGAAAGUACCAGAACACUUAAAAAAUUGAACUUUUAUGUUAUUACUCAAUGUUACUUUUAUAUUAUUAAUCAGUAUUUACUGAGCCCAACCCCUAUGAUAGUUCUACAAUGUAUUACUCUUAAAAUCUAAGCUAGACCUGAAAUCCUAUAUUCUGUUUUAAGCUAUUACCUCUCAAUAGGAAAAGAGAGGUGUUGAGUGUCACCUUAAUCCUUCCUGAGAUAAACAUUCAAAUCAAUCUCUCUACAGAUUGC
This 791-nucleotide long non-coding RNA is filed under the name Homo sapiens (human). RNAcentral's name for it is "non-protein coding lnc-PSMD7-7:1". The record is from RNAcentral. Lineage: Eukaryota; Metazoa; Chordata; Mammalia; Primates; Hominidae.